This is a long non-coding RNA of Orcinus orca (killer whale), 1191 nucleotides long. RefSeq lists it as uncharacterized. The transcript has 5 exons. NCBI's taxonomy places the organism in Eukaryota, Metazoa, Chordata, Mammalia, Artiodactyla, Delphinidae. The record is from RefSeq and is a predicted model, not a curated record.
GAUCUUUAGGAAUUUUACUGGGAUAAUUCGAAGUAUCUAUCCAAAUGGAGUUUGUUGCUGCUUCUGAGACAAAGAACUCUUGAUGUCAAGAUUUGAAGAGAGAAGAAAUGAAAUACAGAAUAUGGGUAUCCUUGAAGGUUAAUCAGAGAACCACUCACAUGCCUCAAGGGAAAAACUUAAAAUGGAUAUGAGAAGUGAAGAAAGUGAUCAUAGGAGAAAAUCAUCUCAGAUCAACCACUUCAGAAGAACCAGAUUCCACUUCUGUGGCCAGGACUUUUAUGUUAUGGCUGGUCCGAUUGUUUUACCCUGCGUUCUAUGCUACUAAACCUUGGAUCAUUCCUAAAGUACAAAUUCUGUUCUCGAACCACAAACAAGGCUAAAAGAUCGGAGGAAAUUCAGUGAAUAUGCAGGAUUGGGAUUGUGUAUUUUCAAAAGUAUUGAGCUUUAUAAUGCAAUUGUUUAAAAGUAGAGCCUUUUUUUUCUUAUGUUGCCAGCAUUUUAAGUUACGUGUUUAUUAAGAGGCAUUGCUCAAAUAGCUACAGAGUAUGCAUGGAAAUAUUGGCUGUCUGAAUAGUUUGGAGAUUCAAAGAGAAAUAGCAAGCUUCAGAGGUAUUAAAUUAUGACAUGCAAAAAAGUUUUUGUUUUAUUCUUAACUGCAACAGUGUAUAUUUAAAUUAGAGUUAAAGUGUUAUAUGUCCUGGGCCCACCUUACAAGUUGUGCUGUGUAGAUGUGUAAUGGGAAGCAAAAUUUCAAUUAGGGUCCCAUUAACUGGCAUAUAAUCCUUCUUUAAUGUAACAGAGGUUAUGGUGUUGCUGUACAAAUCUGCUAGAAACAGAUUUUAACCCAUUUUUGGUCUCUUUCUUGGAUCUAAUGGAAUGACUCUUAACUGUACAUUAUCUGCAUUGUUUCAUACAUUCUUCAUUAUUUUAAAGUCUGAAAUUAGUCUCUAAAUGGUUGUCAUGAAUAUUCAGCUCAUCCUAACUUUAUAUACCAUAUAUAUAUUUCUGCGUAUGUAUUUUAAUUAGUAUUUAGAGGAAAAAGUUAACUGAACCCAACUGUAAUUUCGAAACUAGCCUUAUCACUGGAAGAAGAAUUCUACCGCAUCAAACCAGACUUUUCCUAGUCCCUGAGACCCUAACUUGUGAGGUAUUUUAGUAACAUCACAAGUCAGGCUCUUGGGACCUAGGCGG